GUAAUCUUCCUUAUAAGAAACUUCUUGAGCAGUUGAUCAAAUUGCUGAAAUAAACAGCAACAGAACAGCAAAAUCCGCCGGCACAAAUAGCAGAGGCAUAAAUCAUGCCGUCCGUCUUUGAAAUAUGUAUUUCACAUUAUGUAAGAAGGUUUUAAAUGGCCUUGCCGUUUUCACCGCUAUCAAAUCACUAAGCUUGAAAAGCUUCUUUGGCAAAAAAGAGAUAUACUAUCUGGAAAUACAACUGGAAAAAGCGAUAGGUGCUAUUUCAAAACGCUUUUAAAAAUUUCUAAAACAUUUUAAUUACGAUUUACGGUACGCCGCAUUCGAAGAUUUUCGAGUAUAUCACAAUGUAGCAAUAUGAUGAACUUCCUUUUAUCACAAAAUUCUCAUUAGAAAUUUAAACAUUAGAUGGAAAAGAUUUUAGUAAACAACCAAGGUUAUUUGCUUGAAGACUCUUUAAUUAGGUCAUCCCGAAGGUCGUUCCGAGAAAGUUCAAGUUCAACAAUGAGACAUAGUUGGCUGAAGUUCUAGAAUACAUCACAGCAGUACCACAGGACACCCAACCGUCAAACUAGUAAAAUGUUACUUUUAUAGCAAACUCUUGUAGGGYCGUUUUUUUACUUACUYCAAUAUAAACUAAGCAAGCAAGGUGAUGUGCCGGGUUCUUAUGACUGAUAACGGUAUUGAUCGGCCGACACUGCGUCCAAUAAGCAUACCAUGUCAGCAUGACACAGUCGUUGAGCGGUGUUUGUCCCAGUGGCUUCGAACAGUGAUGUGGCUACGAACGCUUUAAACGAACAAAGUCUUUAUUAGGCAUAAACGUCAUGUAGUAGUGCAUAGAUACCACAACCUACUUAUCAACUGAAAAGCCGUGAAAGGGUUCCAAAGCUUCCAUAUUAUUGUCGGGAGAACCGUUAGUUUUUUAUGUUCAAUUUUCCACCCUAGAAAUUAGGAGAUGCUUUUGGUAUGUCACAAUUAGCUAAAUGAUUUCACUGAAAGAAUUUCGCGAACAUUUUUGGGCAGGCCUCUGAUUAGAGUAAAAACACGGCGUAUAGUAACGGGGGCAGGUGCACCUGUAAUUGAUGAAAUAUUAAUGCCUGUUUUUAGGAAUAACUGAACAUCAAUAACAACGUGCAAAAUUGCAUUGCUAAAUUACUUUGAAUGGCAACGAAUUAGUCUCUGCGAUUUAACAAGGAUUUCAGUGUGUUGGAAGAUGCGUUGACGCUUGUCUUUAGAAGUGAUAAUUUAAACCAAAAUGGGCCGGACAUGGAAAACACUUCUUGUUCAUAUCAUAAUGGCAAUGUUUUUCACUAAAGUAGUGACAGACAGUGCACAACCAACCAUGCCAGGAAAUAGUUCG
This is a long non-coding RNA of Exaiptasia diaphana, 1360 nucleotides long. RefSeq lists it as uncharacterized. The transcript is spliced from 3 exons. NCBI's taxonomy places the organism in Eukaryota, Metazoa, Cnidaria, Anthozoa, Actiniaria, Aiptasiidae. The record is from RefSeq and is a predicted model, not a curated record.